Long non-coding RNA from Syngnathoides biaculeatus (alligator pipefish), 5530 nucleotides. RefSeq lists it as uncharacterized. Lineage: Eukaryota; Metazoa; Chordata; Actinopteri; Syngnathiformes; Syngnathidae. The transcript has 4 exons. The record is from RefSeq and is a predicted model, not a curated record.
ACUAGCAUGAAGACCAUUGCUAAAAUGCAGAGGGAUUGCGUCAGGAAGGGCAUCCGGCGUAAAAUUGUGCCAAAUAAAUAUGCUUGCAUCUCAGAUGACACGCUGUGGCGACCCCUAACGGGACAAGCCGAAAGGAAAAGAAGUUAGUAAAGCUGCAAAGCGAGUUGGACGCACUCGUAAGGGUGCCUGUCUUACCAGUGACGUUUUUACACUUCUGUCAAGCGUGAUAAAUUAUAUUUCUACGCACUUGAACUACUACAUAUAACUAACGAGGUAAAAGUGCGCAGUUUGACAACUGCGAGCUUCUAGUACUAGUAGUGACUAUGAAAGUAAGUCCUGAAAAUUGUACAAGUAACGUCACGAUACAUCAAUUGCGUCUACCGUAGUUGUUUUAAUAGGAUAGCCGGGACUGGUCACCAGCCAAGGAUUCUUCUUUUCCUUUCGCCUUGUCCCAUUAGGGGUUUGCUACAAUGCGUCAUUCUUUUUCGUGUAAGCCUAUCUUCUUUAUCUUCCUCUCUAACACCAGGGAUGAGAAUUUUCGUCGGAUUCGCGGAAUUCCGAUUUUUUUUUUCAGAUGAAAAUGUCAUAAUUGUUAAACGUGUAGAUUCGUUGAAAAAAAAUUGGGGAGGGUACGGCUCGACGCGGGGCGAUGCUGUGAUCAAGACCGGCGGCCAGCAUCUAUCGACAACGCUCGUCGUGAAAUUAGUCACAAAAUUAUUUUGGUUGUUUGGACUCAUAUGUCUUCAAAACAUUAUGAUUGCCUUGUAUUUACACUGUUAGAAGUAACCAGAGGUCACAUUUAACAGUGUGUUUGCUAAAACAAUUUCAUGACUGCAAAUGGCUAUAUUGUAUGUGCCCUGUGGUUGGUGGCAUGUUCAGAGCGCCUCUCACCCAAGUCAGCUGGGAUAGGCUCCAGCACCCUAACGAACCAAAUGAGGACAAGCAGCGCAGAAAAUGUAUGAAUGACUUAGCAAAAAUUAGUUAAAGUCGUACGGGGGGGAGACAAUUAAAUAAUGGAGCUGGUGUGUUUCAUCACAAAUUUUAAUAAAACGUGUCAAGGCAAAAUAUUCACUUAUCAACCAGGAUUUUCUGUUUCAUUUACUGAUUUGAAGGUUUGUGAAUAUGCAAUUAACAUCAUCGCAUACAUCAUCAAAGAAUAAUUAAUCAGUCAAUGAAUAUAAUCUGUUGUUGAUGCAACCGUUUCCCAAGAAGACAGUCUCCUCCUCCAAUUCGACCAUCCCAAAUUGUAAUUGUUUCAGUUUACAAAAAAAAAAAAAAAAAAAAGUCAGUUUGAAGAAAAAUACAUAAUGGACCCGGGUUCAGUCCCGGCCCCUCCUGUGUGGAGUUUGCAUGUUCUCCCCAUGCCUGCUGGAUUUUCUCUGGGCACUCCGUUUUCCUCCCACAUCCUAAAAACACCCAACAUAAAUUGGACACUCUAAAUUGCCCUUCGGUGUGAUUGUGAGUGUGGCUGUUUGUCUCUAUGUGCUCUGCGAUUGGCUGUCAACCAGUUCAGGGUUUACCCUGCCUCCCAAAAAAAAUGCCAACAGUUGAAAUCUAGGUGAAAAUGUAUUUUACCCAAAAGAAGGGUACCCUAGAUGAGUAUAUUAGUUUUUUUGUCACUAGCAUGCAAAUGUAAUUUAAUAUUGCUGAAAUUACUCGCCGGUUCGUGGAAAGUCUUAUAGGCAGCAGAAUAAAAAAAAUAAAAAAAAAGCUACUGUUGACGAGCACAGCCACGCACCGGCACAUCAGAAGGCAGUAAAUUUGGGUAUGAAUCCUACAACAUAAUAUGAAAACUACAAAACCAGCUCCUAUUGAACGGGUGAUGCGCCUAACAGCAAGAAGGAUCGGAGUGGCCGAAUUGUGAGGGUGAGCGAUUCUUCUGCCUGUGGAAUGAUGUAGCGCUCCACUCUAAGCAGGCGCAACAGCAGGUCCUGCAUGUCUUGGGGCCACCGGUAUAUCCUUGUGUUCUGAAGCCAAUUGGGGACAUGUUUCUGUCUCAGAAAGAGAGCAAGGAGAUGGAGAAAUCACAUUAAAAUACAUUUUUAUUUUUCCAAACAUUAUGCAAGUAGCAUAGUGGUACAAUGAGAUCAGCAUGUCCUGUUCAUAGCAACGAGGUUUGGCUUACAAUAGGGUUAGGCCAAGGCAUUUACUGUGUUUAGAAAAUGCAUCUCAUCUAGGGGUGUCAAAUAGGGAUGGGAAUGGAAGUUCUUUUGAGUGCACUGAAUCAGUCGAAUCAGUUCCUUAAAAAGAUCAAAUCGUUCACUUCUUUGUCAUAAAAUAAUUUAAGUGCUUCCUCAUUUUAUGAAUGAUCCAUCCCCGAGGUUCACGGUCACGCAACACAUUCACCAAAGCGCUAAAUGUGUUGUUGUUGUCCUGUAUUUUGAAAUAGCAAAGGCAGAGCACCAUCAGUGCACACAGAGAGAAAUUAAUCCAUAAGUAGAUUUUUUUUUCUUGUGAAAAUAUUUUAUCUACAAGCCAAAAGUAAUCAUCAAAAGAGCCACACCUGGCUUGCGAGCCUUACAUUCCUGACCCCUGCAUUAAGAGACACAGAGGGAAUGAUAUGCAUGUGAACAUAUUAUAUAUACGUUUAUUAUUAAAAGACAUUUAUUUUAAAUGUGUGGUUUUUAUGUGCUUCACUGACUCAAAAUUACUCUAAUUUCUGAAAUGUGCAAAUUUUUCCCAAAAUAUUUUCAAAAAGUUAAUAGAGCGCAUAAUAUUUAGGUAUGGAUAAAAUUAUUUAUAAUGACAUUUUAUAGCCGUAUACAGGUACAUAGAGUGGUAAACAAGCUAUACAUACACAUUUUGAUAUAUUUGAUGCCUUAUGUUUCACAUUUAUAUAUAUUACGGUAAUCUGCGCCCCAACCUGAGCUCUCUGAUCUCCUCAGGGGAGCUUCGCAUUUUACGAUCAUUAGCGUAGCAAAUGUGUUGCUACGGCACAAAAGACUAGAAACAACUGCUCAUUGGUUUGUUUUAACUUAAACUAAGACAUAAAAUGUAAACUACAACAACUAGUUAUGCAUCUGCUUUUAAAAGAAAUGUCUUUGCUGACGCAAGGAACCCGGAAGCAGCCCAGCAGUCUAAAACAACGAGAGCUCAAUGGCUUCAGGUCUUUAUCAAAACAAUGUGAGCUCAAACUACGUAGUAUGAGCACAAUGACUACAUUUAAAAAAAGAAAUAAAUAAAAACAAGAGAGCGCGCACAAUUGAAAUCCUCGCUUUUUUUUGUUUUUUUAAAUGUUCCCAUUACACUGGUUUCUACGUAGCUUUAGCUCACAUUGUUCUGAUAGCCACUAGAUGCCGUAGGAAAGCUGCUACAGAUUGUUGCCGAAUGGAGGGUCUUGAUGAGGGCAACACAACCACAUCAUCUGCAAAGAGCAGAGAUGCAAUGCUGAGGCCAACAAGCCAAACCCCACUACACCUUGGCUGCACCGAGAAACUGUCCACAAAAUUCCAGUCCAGUUAUUAUAUUGGUAGCAGGAGUACUGGAGCCUACACCAGCUGUCAUCGGGCAGAAGGCGGGGUACACCCUGAACUGGUUGCCAGCCAAUCACAGGGCACAUGGAGACAGACAACAAUCUCACAAUCAUAACAAGAGGCAAUGUUUCUGGGAUGUGGGGGGAAACCAGAGUGCCCAAAGGAAACCCACACAGACAUCGGGAUAACAGCCAAACUCCACACAGGCAGGGCCGGGAUUUGAACCCACUCCUCAGAACUGUGAGGCCAUCAGUCUACACCUGCACCACUGCACCCUUUUGAUUUCAAAAGGCAAUAAAUGACAUAAGGCUUUUUUUCCCUUUUUUUUAUGUGUCCCAUUCACCUACAAAGCCUUGCAGAAUGGUGAAUCUGUAUGUGUUUCUGUUGCCACAGUUGCUGUGCAACAUGGGAGUUUGAAAUACAGUAUUUUAUACAAUAUUUUUUUUCCAAAUCAUUUAUCUUAUGUUUCUUGAAAAUACACCUACAAAGAAAAGGAUUUUAGGGAACAGACAGGGACAGAAAUAUGGGUGCAAACCACCGCAGAACAAUAAUUAAACUAGAUCUAGGUCUAGAUAUUUGAACACAAGUAACAUUUCAACAGUCAUUUGUAGAUUGAGGGGAGAAACCUGGUGAAGACAUGAAAUCACUAACCAAGAAAACAAGAUAAGAGGAUAGAAAGGGCCAGGAGACGAUGGGGGGAAAUGAGCAAGGCAGUGCUACUGUCGCGUAGUGCAGUGGGAUUCUUUUUUUUUUCUUUUUUCUUUUUUUUGGGGGGGUUUGAACACCUGGAAGAACCGGUGAGUUAUGUUAUUAUAACCUGUCUUGUUAUCAGUUAUCAGAGCACAUGUAAUUAUUUGAUAGUGUUUCCAUCGAACUUAUUAGUGAAUGAACACUGUAUCACUAACCAGACCAGAAACCAGCAGAAAUGUGUCAAUGCCCGGCCCGGCUCUUACAUCAUGACACCUGAGCCUGAAUGAGAUAUGAAUGAAUUUAAAAAUGUGCGCUGUGUGUGAAGUAAUGGGCUAGAUUCUUGCAGGUCUGGCCCGGCUCGACCAGUCAGCAGACCACAGAGACCGCUUCAGAGAUCAAGAAUUAUGACACUAUAUUCUUGUUUGAGAGGACAGGCCUGCCUCAGGCAAGUGAGCCAUCCCACAUUUCGUCCCACAUACUGCUUGGCCAAUAGUGCGUAGACCUACAGAUAUCCUCACCAUGACAUCUUGGAGCAGAACUCAACGUGGCAGCAUUUUGCCAAUCAAUUAGGUGCUGCUUAUUAAAAAUUAUUGCACAUCCAACAAAACGUAAUUGCAGCUCUCCUUACCUUUUGUCUUUGAUGUAGCCUUUCACCCCUCCAUGCCAAAACUACUAAUGAAUGAGGCUUGCAGGAAGCCACCACUGGCGGAAGGAUUCAAAUAUUUUCCGAAAUAGAUUACAAAUGUCAUGAUCCUGCCGCUCCAGCACGAGCUGUGCGGGUCCCCGCGCGGGUGCGCUGAUUUGGAGGUGCACACCUGCGCCCCAUGCAGCCUGAUUAUGCUGUGGAUUUAUAUGACCCCGAAGACAACUGGCCGGCGCCAGUUCGUUGAUCUUCAUGUCCUGUUCGUGCGCUGCGGUAUCCCUGAUCGAACCUGUGUGUACCGACCUUCGCCUGUUCUCCGACCAACCUUGUACGCCUGACUCCUUCGUUACUUCUGCCUGCUUUGAUUGUUCUCCUGUGUACCGAAUCCUGCCUGUCCACUCACCUGCUCUCUUCGCCCGACGUCCCAACUACCGCUGCUGCACCGGACUGCCUGCUCGAUCCCCUACCUCUGCAUAUAAUAAACGUUUCUCCUUGAACUACCUGGCAUCUUCCGAGUCCUGCAUUUGGGUCCUACUCUCGUUCUGAUGGGACGUGACAACAAAAGCUUUCCUUGGUUGUUUACUUUAACAUUUGGUGGGUGGGAAGGCAUUCAAAGUGUGUAUAAACAUAUGAUACAAAGUCCAUCCAUCGAUUUUCUUAGCCAGUUAUGCUUACAAGGGUCACAGGGAGUGCUGGAGCCUAUCUGAGCUGUCAACGGGCAGGA